CAAAAGCGUAUAUUAAAGUUGUUGCAGUUAAAAAGCUCGUAGUUGAACCUUGGGCUUGGCUGGCCGGUCCAUCUUUUUUGAUGCGUACUGGACCCAGCCGAGCCUUUCCUUCUGGCUAGCCUUUUGGCGAACCAGGACUUUUGCUUUGAAAAAAUUAGAGUGUUCAAAGCAGGCCUUUGCUCGAAUAUAUUAGCAUGGAAUAAUAGAAUAGGACGUUAUGGUUCUAUUUUGUUGGUUUCUAGGACCAUCGUAAUGAUUAAUAGGGACGGUCGGGGGUAUCAGUAUUCAGUUGUCAGAGGUGAAAUUCUUGGAUUUACUGAAGACUAACUACUGCGAAAGCAUUUACCAAGGACGUUUUCAUUAA
RNAcentral lists this ribosomal RNA (364 nucleotides) under uncultured eukaryote. RNAcentral's name for it is "partial 18S ribosomal RNA". It matches the Rfam family "Eukaryotic small subunit ribosomal RNA", at positions 592 to 976 of the family's 1831-position model. The record is from RNAcentral.